CUACGGGACGCACCAGUGGGGAAUAUUGCACAAUGGGCGCAAGCCUGAUGCAGCAACGCCGCGUGAGUGAAGAAGGCCUUCGGGUCGUAAAGCUCUGUCCUCUGGGACGAAUAAAUGACGGUACCAGAGGAGGAAGCCCCGGCUAACUACGUGCCAGCAGCCGCGGGAAUACGUAGGGGGCAAGCGUUAUCCGGAAUCACUGGGCGUAAAGGGUGCGUAGGUGGUCUAUCAAGUCAGAAGUGAAAGGCAGUGGCUCAACCAUUGUAAGCUUUUGAAACUGAUGGACUUGAGUGUAGGAGAGGUAAGUGGAAUUCCUAGUGUAGCGGUGAAAUGCGUAGAUAUUAGGAGGAACACCAGUGGCGAAGGCGACUUACUGGACUAUUACUGACACUGAGGCACGAAAGCGUGGGGAGCGAACAGGAUUAGAUACCCCAGUAGUC
This 440-nucleotide ribosomal RNA is filed under the name uncultured bacterium. RNAcentral's name for it is "partial 16S ribosomal RNA". It matches the Rfam family "Bacterial small subunit ribosomal RNA", at positions 339 to 795 of the family's 1533-position model. The record is from RNAcentral.